GGGGGUGUAGCUCAGUGGUAGAGCGCGUGCUUAGCAUGCACGAGGCCCUGGGUUCAAUCCCCAGUACCUCCA
RNAcentral lists this transfer RNA (72 nucleotides) under Erinaceus europaeus (western European hedgehog). Its description in RNAcentral is "tRNA-Ala (AGC) (tRNA-Ala-AGC-6-1)". It matches the Rfam family "tRNA". From Rfam's summary of the family: Transfer RNA (tRNA) molecules are approximately 80 nucleotides in length. Their secondary structure includes four short double-helical elements and three loops (D, anti-codon, and T loops). Further hydrogen bonds mediate the characteristic L-shaped molecular structure. tRNAs have two regions of fundamental functional importance: the anti-codon, which is responsible for specific mRNA codon recognition, and the 3' end, to which the tRNAs corresponding amino acid is attached (by aminoacyl-tRNA synthetases). tRNAs cope with the degeneracy of the genetic code in two manners: having more than one tRNA (with a specific anti-codon) for a particular amino acid; and 'wobble' base-pairing, i.e. permitting non-standard base-pairing at the 3rd anti-codon position. The record is from Rfam by way of RNAcentral. Lineage: Eukaryota; Metazoa; Chordata; Mammalia; Eulipotyphla; Erinaceidae.